Molecule: ribosomal RNA, 301 nt
Filed under: uncultured bacterium
Lineage: Bacteria
Description: partial 16S ribosomal RNA
Rfam family: Bacterial small subunit ribosomal RNA
Source: RNAcentral
CAGUCGCCGCGGUAAUACGAAGGGUGCAAGCGUUAAUCGGAAUUACUGGGCGUAAAGCGCGCGUAGGUGGUUUGGUAAGAUGGAUGUGAAAUCCCCGGGCUCAACCUGGGAACUGCAUCCAUAACUGCCUGACUAGAGUACGGUAGAGGGUGGUGGAAUUUCCUGUGUAGCGGUGAAAUGCGUAGAUAUAGGAAGGAACACCAGUGGCGAAGGCGACCACCUGGACUGAUACUGACACUGAGGUGCGAAAGCGUGGGGAGCAAACAGGAUUAGAUACCCCUGUAGUCCCUGUCUCUUAUAA